RNAcentral lists this long non-coding RNA (204 nucleotides) under Olea europaea (common olive). Its description in RNAcentral is "long non-coding RNA (OEUR_LNC012643)". Lineage: Eukaryota; Viridiplantae; Streptophyta; Magnoliopsida; Lamiales; Oleaceae. The record is from RNAcentral.
CUUCAUGUCAAAUGGUGCCUACGAGUACGACAUGUAUGAAAAGUUAUAAAGUUAAUAUUUUGAAAUGUAUAACUUGAUCACGAAUGCACCUAUGACACCUAUUGAGUUUUUCAACUCACGGGUUUAAUCUCAUCUCUACAGAUUGAAGGAAUUUUACCUCGGGCAUGGAUGGAGGAGAAGAUGGAGAGUGAUGCAACGAGCCCA